GAUCAACGCUGGCGGCGUGCCUAAAACAUGCAAGUCGAACGGCACCUUCGGGUGCAGUGGCGGACGGCUGAGUAACACGUGGGCGACCUGCCCACCGGUGGGGGACAACCUUCCGAAAGGAGGGCUAAGACCGCAUGCGACCGCUCAUUCAGUUGAGUGGGGAAAACAGCGAUGUGCCGGUGGAGGGGCCCGCGGCCGAUUAGCUGGCUGGUGGGGUAACGGCCUACCAGGGGCGACGAUCGGUAGCCGGUCUGAGAGGAUGAUCGGCCAGACUGGGACUGAGACACGGCCCAGACUCCUGCGGGAGGCAGCAGUUAGGAAUUUUGGGCAA
This 331-nucleotide ribosomal RNA is filed under the name uncultured bacterium. RNAcentral describes it as "bacterial SSU rRNA". It matches the Rfam family "Bacterial small subunit ribosomal RNA", at positions 28 to 371 of the family's 1533-position model. The record is from RNAcentral.